This is a long non-coding RNA of Pundamilia nyererei, 391 nucleotides long. RefSeq lists it as uncharacterized. The record is from RefSeq and is a predicted model, not a curated record. NCBI's taxonomy places the organism in Eukaryota, Metazoa, Chordata, Actinopteri, Cichliformes, Cichlidae. The transcript is spliced from 3 exons.
GCUAAAUCCACUGAUACACCAGACCAGUCCGCCCCAACCAAGAAGGGUUUCAUCCAAAGCCUCAAAGGUUUUAUAUGAAUCCUGGUACCUCAGGGGACAGCAUCCACAGCACCAGCACUCAGCCCACAGCUAGCAGCACGGCUGACAUUAAGACACCAGACCUUAUCACUUUCACUGAGGACGAGCCGAGGGAGACCGCUGAAAAUAACCCGGGAGCACAGAAGAGUUUGAUUCUAGAGCUGGUACAGUCGGACCCCCUGUGUCUCCUGGAGCACCAGGCAGCAUGUAAGCAGCAGAAAGGCACCGGGACAUCUUUGACACGUAGCAACAGUGUUGGAGGACCUCUGCAAAGCCUGGACUACUCUCAGAGACCUGGGCAUGGCGUCUCCAC